AACGAACGCUGGCGGCAUGCCUAACACAUGCAAGUCGAACGAGACCUUCGGGUCUAGUGGCGCACGGGUGCGUAACGCGUGGGAACCUGCCCUUAGGUUCGGAAUAACUCCCCGACAGGGGUGCUAAUACCGGAUAAUGUCUUCGGACCAAAGAUUUGUCGCCUUUGGAUGGGCCCGCGUUGGUUUAGCUAGUUGGUAGGGUAAAAGCCUACCAAGGCGACGAUCCAUAGCUGGUCUGAGAGGAUGAGCAGCCACACUGGGACUGAGACACGGCCCAGACUCCUACGGGAGGCAGCAGUGGGGAAUAUUGGACAAUGGGCGAAAGCCUGAUCCAGCAAUGCCGCGUGAGUGAUGAAGGCCUUAGGGUUGUAAAGCUCUUUUACCCGGGAUGAUAAUGACAGUACCGGGAGAAUAAGCUCCGGCUAACUCCGUG
Molecule: ribosomal RNA, 433 nt
Filed under: uncultured bacterium
Lineage: Bacteria
Description: partial 16S ribosomal RNA
Rfam family: Bacterial small subunit ribosomal RNA
Source: RNAcentral